Molecule: long non-coding RNA, 714 nt
Organism: Capsicum annuum
Lineage: Eukaryota; Viridiplantae; Streptophyta; Magnoliopsida; Solanales; Solanaceae
Exons: 2
Source: RefSeq, a predicted model, not a curated record
GAUUGUUGGUGGUGAGAAUUGGGAGUUGCCUUGCUCUAUUCAAACGCUUUUCAUAGGCAAUCUGAAAACAUUAAGCAGUCAAGUUCUCAACAGCCUCACCUCUCUUGAAUCCCUGCGGACUUUUAAUUUACUUCAAGUUCAGUCACUUCUGGAAGAAGGGCUUCCCUCCUCUCUUUCUAAGCUAUAUUUAUGUGACCAUGAUGAGCUCCAUUCACUACCGACCGAAGGUCUUCAGCACCUCACUUCGCUUCAAAGUCUUCACAUCAGCAAUUGCCAUCAACUUCAAUCACUUCCCGAAUCAGCUCUGCCCUCCUCCCUCUCUGAGCUGGCCAUCUGGAAAUGCCUUAAUCUCCAAUCACUUCCAGUAAAAGGGAUGCCCUCUUCCCUCUCUAAACUAUAUAUUGACGAAUGCCCAUUGCUCGAACCACUCGUAAAAUUUGACAAGGGGGAGUACUGGCCAAAAAUUGCUCAUAUUCCUGAAAUAUAUUUCAGUGUCUCAAUACUUGACCACGAAUGCCUGUGAUGAUUAAUAAAAAGAAGCUCCCACACAUGAGUUGUUCAAUCAUUUUGCAGAAUCAUUUGGAAGGGCGUGAAUUCUUGGAAAAACAAAAUAUCUAAUGCACAAUGAGAUAUACUUUGCUUUUUCCUUGUAAGAAAACUGCAUCAAACUUGGAAAGCAAAAAAAAAGAAAAGUUGAAAGAAGAUUUUCAAACA